Stegostoma tigrinum is the source of this 535-nucleotide long non-coding RNA. RefSeq lists it as uncharacterized. The transcript is spliced from 4 exons. Lineage: Eukaryota; Metazoa; Chordata; Chondrichthyes; Orectolobiformes; Stegostomatidae. The record is from RefSeq and is a predicted model, not a curated record.
CAAACAAUUACCAGCAACUGGAAUUUUAAAACUAACAUAAAGAUUAAGUUUUUACAAAGGACCUUCCCAACACAUAACAACGUAUUUAUGCCAUUAUCUGUCUGUGUGAUUUCAGAGAUGCUGUUACAGGAACCUCGAAUAAGCAUGAUAAAGCUUGUGGAACUUCCCAGAACUUCCAUUUUGAUGCUUGCCAGCGUGGGAAACUGCAAUUGUCACUUACUUGUAGGGAUACACAUCGUGGAAACAAUGUGAGACAGAUAGAAGCCACCCAGUAUUUAUCAGCGUUGCACCACAAGUAUGCCCUAAGGUAUCAAAGUGGAGGCUGACUUGCCAGGGCCACUCACCAAGCUCCGCAUCAUUACCAUUGACAAUUCGACUUUGAAGGAAGGGUCGGUUUCCACAGUCUGUGUAAAAAGAGAAGCUCCUUGUUGUAUGAAGUUACGUUAACAGUUCCAAGAUUUUAAACUUGAACAAGUAGAAAUGUAUUAGUGUUUCUAUUGUUUAAAUGUUUAUUUUGUAGUGGACGGCCUGAAUU